UUCCAGCUGACGAGUCCCAAAUAGGAUGAAACGUGCGUCCUGUAU
RNAcentral lists this non-coding RNA (45 nucleotides) under Schistosoma mansoni. Lineage: Eukaryota; Metazoa; Platyhelminthes; Trematoda; Strigeidida; Schistosomatidae. The record is from RNAcentral.